RNAcentral lists this ribosomal RNA (495 nucleotides) under uncultured bacterium. RNAcentral's name for it is "bacterial SSU rRNA". It matches the Rfam family "Bacterial small subunit ribosomal RNA", at positions 30 to 523 of the family's 1533-position model. The record is from RNAcentral.
AUUGAACGCUGGCGGCAGGCCUAACACAUGCAAGUCGAGCGAGAAAGCACUUCGGUGUGAGUACAGCGGCGGACGGGUGAGUAACGCGUAGGAAUCUACCCGGUAGUGGGGGACAACUUGGGGAAACCCAAGCUAAUACCGCAUACGCCCUAAGGGGGAAAGCGGGGGAUCUUCGGACCUCGCGCUAUCGGAUGAGCCUGCGUAGGAUUAGCUAGUUGGUGGGGUAAAGGCUCACCAAGGCGACGAUCCUUAGCUGGUCUGAGAGGAUGAUCAGCCACACUGGGACUGAGACACGGCCCAGACUCCUACGGGAGGCAGCAGUGGGGAAUAUUGCGCAAUGGGCGAAAGCCUGACGCAGCCAUGCCGCGUGUGUGAAGAAGGCCCUAGGGUUGUAAAGCACUUUCAAUUGGGAAGAAAGCUGUUGCUUAAUAAGUAACAGCCCUGACAUUACCUUUAGAAGAAGCACCGGCUAACUCCGUGCCAGCGCCGCGGUAA